CUUUCUCCGCCGGCGACCGGCGCACGGGUGAGUAACACGUAUGCAACCUGCCCCUGUCAGGGGGACAACCCGCCGAAAGGCGGGCUAAACCCGCGUACAUGCCACCGGGGCAUCCCGGAGGCAGGAAAGGCUUCGGCCGGACAGGGAUGGGCAUGCGGCGCAUUAGGCAGUGGCGGGGUAACGGCCCACCUAACCGACGAUGCGUAGGGGUUCUGAGAGGAAGGUCCCCCACACUGGUACCGAGACACGGACCAGACUCCUACGGGAGGCAGCAG
RNAcentral lists this ribosomal RNA (275 nucleotides) under uncultured bacterium. Its description in RNAcentral is "partial 16S ribosomal RNA". It matches the Rfam family "Bacterial small subunit ribosomal RNA", at positions 79 to 354 of the family's 1533-position model. The record is from RNAcentral.